CGGCUACACAUGCAGUCGAGCGGAUGACGGGAGCUUGCUCCUUGAUUCAGCGGCGGACGGGUGAGUAAUGCCUAGGAAUCUGCCUGGUAGUGGGGGACAACGUUUCGAAAGGAACGCUAAUACCGCAUACGUCCUACGGGAGAAAGCAGGGGACCUUCGGGCCUUGCGCUAUCAGAUGAGCCUAGGUCGGAUUAGCUAGUUGGUGGGGUAAUGGCUCACUAAGGCGACGAUCCGUAACUGGUCUGAGAGGAUGAUCAGUCACACUGGAACUGAGACACGGUCCAGACUCCUACGGGAGGCAGCAGUGGGGAAUAUUGGACAAUGGGCGAAAGCCUGAUCCAGCCAUGCCGCGUGUGUGAAGAAGGUCUUCGGAUUGUAAAGCACUUUAAGUUGGGAGGAAGGGCAGUAAGUUAAUACCUUGCUGUUUUGACGUUACCGACAGAAUAAGCACCGGCUAACUCUGUGCCAG
RNAcentral lists this ribosomal RNA (469 nucleotides) under uncultured bacterium. RNAcentral's name for it is "bacterial SSU rRNA". It matches the Rfam family "Bacterial small subunit ribosomal RNA", at positions 44 to 511 of the family's 1533-position model. The record is from RNAcentral.